GUCCAACUCUCCUGUCAAAGGUAUUACUUUAUAUUCUGAUUUUUCUUUUUUUCUGGUAUUGAUAGCUCUACCCUUUCUUGCACUUGUUUACUAGUCCCUAUUUGUUCCAUAAAGCUGAGGUGAAUCUUUUUGUUUUUGCCAAUGUCAAUUCUGCUGAUAUCUGCAAUAACAACCAUCCUGUCUUAUUUUUUGUUUACCCAUCCUGGAAGAUUUACUGAGGUAACAGGCAUUUAUGUGAUGAGAGAAUAUAUUAGAAGAUCACCAACCCUUGUUUAAAGCUAGCCCCCACCCUGACUUGGCCUAAUGCCCAAAAAGGAAAAAGAAAUUCAGGUUACACCUUUCAGGAAGGAAUUGCCUCCUGAAGCUUCUAAUUGCAGAAAAGUACAGUAUCCAGUUAAUUUCCUUGAAAAUUUUCCUUCUUCCUCUAUUGUGCUGUUGUCUGAACUCAUUUAUCUUUUAUGAUCAUACACUUCUAAAUGUGUAUGGCACAUGUACCAAGACCUUGGCUCAUGUAAUUUCAUAUCAACCUUCCAGUUUGUGUGAUUUGCUUUUCUUUGCUUUAACAGGUUUAUUAUCACCAUCUGCUGG
This 588-nucleotide unclassified non-coding RNA is filed under the name Hevea brasiliensis (rubber tree). The record is from RNAcentral. Lineage: Eukaryota; Viridiplantae; Streptophyta; Magnoliopsida; Malpighiales; Euphorbiaceae.